CCUACGGGAGGCAGCAGUAGGGAAUCUUUCACAAUGGGCGAAAGCCUGAUGGAGCAACGCCGCGUGCAGGAUGCAGGCCUUCGGGUUGUAAACUGCUUUUAUAAGCGAGAAAUAUGAUGGUAACUUAUGAAUAAGGAUCGUCUAACUACGUGCCAGCAGCCGCGGUCAUACGUAGGAUCCGAGCAUUAUCCGGAGUGACUGGGUGUAAAGAGUUGCGUAGGUGGGAUAAUAAGUAGCGAGUGAAAUCUGGUGGCUCAACCAUUCAGACUAUUAGCUAAACUGUUAAGCUCGAGACUGUUAGGGGUAACUGGAAUUGCUAGUGUAGGAGUGAAAGCCGGAGAUAUUAGAAGGAACACCGAUAGCGUAGGCAGGUUGCUGGGACGGUUCUGACACUAAGGCACGAAAGCGUAGGGAGCAAACGGGAUUAGAUACCCUUGUAGUC
This 442-nucleotide ribosomal RNA is filed under the name uncultured bacterium. RNAcentral's name for it is "partial 16S ribosomal RNA". It matches the Rfam family "Bacterial small subunit ribosomal RNA", at positions 338 to 795 of the family's 1533-position model. The record is from RNAcentral.